Long non-coding RNA from Xiphophorus hellerii (green swordtail), 3071 nucleotides. RefSeq lists it as uncharacterized. The record is from RefSeq and is a predicted model, not a curated record. Lineage: Eukaryota; Metazoa; Chordata; Actinopteri; Cyprinodontiformes; Poeciliidae. The transcript has 2 exons.
GAAGCCGCUCGUCUGACUGCACGAACUGAAGUCCGCGUAGGCCGAUGCCAAGCUCGACGUGUCCAUCCCGGCCAUACAUGACUCGUAGGCAGAGGAAUUUAGAUGUUGCAGCCAGUUCCUGGAGAGCCCGGCUCGUCCCUCCUGGCCUCAUCGGCCCCUCCGAGUCUUUAUCUGCGCUUCCCGAGUGACCAAGAGACCAGCCAGCGGAUUAACAUAAAAAUCUUAUUCCGGGGGAUAAGAUUAGGAAACAUAUUACCCUCUAACGCGGCCUUGGCACGAGCGAGAGCCAGGCAAGGAAUCAAUUACUAAAUUACUCCAACCUCUAAGUCGACAUUAACGCAGAGAAAUGCCAUCGACCGCUUCUGAAAUAAGAUUUCGCUAAGAUGCGAUCAUUAAAUCUCUUGCCAGUGUUCAAGAAUUUGAUUCAUAAAAUCGUCUGAAAUGAGAUGGAAUUAAAUUCUUAUCGGGGCUCUUGUCAUCGUUUCAUCCCGCGCUGUUUAACGGUGGUCAAUGGCCUUCAUGAGAUUUUCCCUGUAAAUAAACUUAGUAAUCGAAUCCGCCUCUCCGCGACACAUUGUUUGGUUGUUAUUAAUUUAUUGCAGCCGAGCAGGGCGGUGGGGUGGAGAGAAGCAGGCCAGGAGGCUGCCGGCUGAGAGCCUGGCUGCGGGUUCUCUCUGAAGGUUUCAGAUCACACGAACAGCGAAGCAUUGUGGGUUUGGACUCCGUUUGGCUGCAACAAGCUUUGAGAGGAAGGGGUGACUGAAACAUCUGUCAUUUUUUUCUGCAUUUCACCCCUAGUGGGGUCAAAGCAUAUUUUAUUUAGCAUAGUCCACUGGCAUUACCCCCCCUAUCCUCUCUCCGCACCCACCCCGACAUUAGCAGUUGACAAUUAUUAUCCCCAACCCCAUAAAUCAGAUGCGUGACCCGUUAUUAUUGUUGAAUUGAAUAGCUGUUGGGGAAGUGAGGGUCAGUGUCAUUAACUUGCCUCCACAGCCACCCCACACACACACACCACCCUCGGGCCCCCUGAAGGCAUUUGGCCCUCUAUACAAGGACCUGCUGGCUAAUAAUGCCGUGUGGCCUGCCCAGAAGCUUAAUCACACAUGCAUUAAGGGGAAGACAGCGGGCCUUUGUGCACACGUAGGUUUACUGGAAUUAAGCGAUUAAUGGUCAUCUCAGCGGCAGGCGACGACGCAGCGCACAGAGCACGACGCAGCGCUGUUUUACGGCAAAAAACGUGAAAAAGGGUUGGACAAAGAGAAGAAGUAAAGGAAGGAAGGAGAUGAGAUGCAAUUACAGUAGUCCGUGUCCCCCAAUCCAUCAUGCAACGUCAAGGUCAUUGUGUAUUGUAUUGAUUAUGAUACAAGGCUUUGUGAUGUUUAUUACACCCCUCCUGCUUCCAUAUAAUAAUAUGCAAAAAUGCCGCAUGUAAACACCUGCUAUCAAUUUCUAAAGCUGCUAAUUUGCCUCGCCUCGUGGUUCCUCCUUUCUCUCCCAGUUUCAUAUUCCUCACUUGUGUUAUGACUGAACACGUGGCCGCGCAUUAAACUGUUUUGCCUGCAGCCUCCAUCUGCAUAAACCAUCAGGCAGCUCAUAUGAAUUAUGAUUUCCAUAUAGUCAAAAAGGGGAGGGGUGACCCAAUGAGAGCCAACAACAGGGCUUCUCAAAUAUAUUGUUUCUUAUACAAAUGAGAUGUCAGAGCCGUUAAUUAACUUAUCAGUGACGCACUGGGUUAACUGGGAAUAGAGGGUGAUGUAACAAUGCUAAUUUAAUAGUAUUAGAAAAGUUGAAUUUAUAUCUGAAGGGAAAAUAUAUACAAAAAAUAGCUAUAACAAAUAUUUUGUGAAGCAUUUCGACAUCAUUCACCUGCCCACACAGGUGUUGGGAGUCAAGUCUCCUCCUCAGGUUCACCUGGGAGUUUAUGGAUGUACCAGAAAACUUUCAGUCUUUCUUUUAUAGAUUACUGAUUUCCUAAUAGUUUUACUUUUUAAAUGUUUGAUUUGCAGGAGUCAGUGAGGCUGAUCUGCAGUAAGUAAAGUGAACAAGUUUGUAAGAAACUAUUCCAAAUCUAAUCCAUUUGCUGUUUUUUAUUGCUAUUUUCCUCAAACUUCUAUUUUAUUUUUAUACUUUGUCUGGAGAAUUUACUUCCAACAUGACUUAUAUUACUUAAUUCUAGAACCACCAGUCAUACUUUGGAAACCAUAAUGAUACAGAAUUAAUUUAGACUUUGGGAUUUUUAUUCUUACACUUGUGGGAUGAAUGAAUGGAUAAAACAUGCAAUGUGUGCACCAGUUGGGCAGUAUGUUGCUUUAGGCUGUUUUCUGCUGGUAAAAAUGAAAUCCUGUCAUUCUUUUGGAUCUUUUCAUGAAAACGACCAACAGAAUCUUUCAUCUUUAAUUUGGGAUUUUGCACAGUUCCUCCUCAGCAGAAACAACCUGAACCUUCUGAGCUGCAUGCUAGACAAGGAAUGCAAACUCUUGAAUUUUAUGUUCAUCCUUUUGUCAUUGGUCUUCUAAAGAACAGCUAUCUAUAUUGACAGUGGAGGGUAAAUUAUAUUGCCAUGACCACCACCCAAUGGCAGAGCUUGUUGAUCAAUCAAACCUAAUUUGAUUGGAUGGAAGUCUUAAAGAACAGCCAGAUGGGAGCUAUCAGAGCGGGUCUGUCCACUGAUUCACUUCCUGUUCCCAGAAGGCGUUUUCUGGGCUCUGAAGGAUGAUGGUGCACCACAGAGCCGGAUGAGACAGAUUCCGUGUUCUGGAUCAAAUCAAUACGUGUGAACAGUAACUAAAUGCAAAGCCAUCAUUUCUUUAUUUACCUUUUGCAACUGUUUUUCCUGAGGAUUUUGACUGAGGACUGCACCUGAUGCAAUAAUUUUUGUAUUUUUCAGAUUUUCAAUAAUCAUUGAAAUUGAUGACGACCCUAAUCCUGUGUGAGAUUUCUCUGUGUCCCCAGAAUCAAAUCACUAACUUGUCUUUGCUUUUUUAGGUACACUGUGGUUGGGAUUAUUGACUUGUUGAGCAAAUAAAACGUUAUUUCCUUUAAUACAAAUUUAUCUUUUAAAGAUCUAUGUC